CACGCCUACCCAUUUCCUUCUUAUGAGAAGGAAAUGCGACAGAAAACCACCUCUUCUGUUUGUAUUUUACUUCUGGAAACAUACACAUCCCAUCAACCCUCUCUAUCUUCAGUUUACUGGUGAAUAAAGAAGGACUUAAAGCACAACUUGAAUGGGUCUGGCCCAGUGUGGACAGUUGGAGGCUCAAGUUCAUACAUUGUGCUAUUAUUCUGUGUGGAACAGAGAUCCAGCUUGUUCAAAAGGAGACCAUUAUCUGACUGCCUGAAUAGAUCCCAUUGCAGGAAAAAUUGACUGAAAUAUUGUCAAAUGUGUUCCAGCAAUAAAAUUCAGAUGUUGUAUAUGCUACAAAGAAGAUAGUGACUGCUGAAUACAGACAAAUGGGAGAAGAAAGCAGUUUGGCCCAGAGGAAGAACACACAGUGGAGAUAAAGAGAUGUGUGCCAAGAAAGGCGAAUAUUCAGAUCAGAUGGGAUGCAGAUGAACAUCUGUGGAGACCCAUGAAUGAAGAAGAGAGAAGCAGAGGGAAAGAAAGAAACUGAUUGAAAAGAUGCAGUCAAAAUGGGCGGUGGGAAAGAGAAGGAGGAAUCCUAAUGGAAGCCAAGUGAUGUCAUCCUACAGGCCAGCUUCUCUGACUCAGAGGCAGUGUGGGGAAAAGACAGAGGAAGAGCAGGGCCAAAUGGGAGAUUCCAGCACCUUCUUCUUGGGGAUUUGAAUUCUAUCUAAUAAGCCUUUCAAAGCAGGGUUAUUAGACUUCUGUGAGCCACAGACCCUUUUGAGAACUUGAAAACUAAUAAUCUCUUGGCCCAAAGACAUGCACAUAAUAACAUACACAAAUGUGGCAUGCACUUUUAGGGAGCAUUCCAUAGCUCCUUGACUCCAUCCUAAGUCUCAGUUUAAGAAAGUCUGCUGUAGUAUU
Long non-coding RNA from Rhinopithecus roxellana (golden snub-nosed monkey), 915 nucleotides. RefSeq lists it as uncharacterized. The record is from RefSeq and is a predicted model, not a curated record. The transcript has 7 exons. Lineage: Eukaryota; Metazoa; Chordata; Mammalia; Primates; Cercopithecidae.